Pelodiscus sinensis (Chinese soft-shelled turtle) is the source of this 784-nucleotide non-coding RNA. The record is from RefSeq and is a predicted model, not a curated record. Lineage: Eukaryota; Metazoa; Chordata; Testudines; Trionychidae.
UAAGAGGGGUGCUCUUGAGGAGCUGAGGUCUGCAAGGAGGGAAGUGUGCUGUGCAGGGAGAAAAUACUAGGCAGUGUGUUUGGGGAAGUAGCCCAGGGAAGAGGCUACUAGACUGGGGCUGGAAGAAAACUAGUGUCAGUUCCUGCUACCUUAUGGUCCCUGGGCCAAAGCCUGGAGUAGUGGGUGGGCCCAAGUUCCAACCAAACCUUCCCAGACCACGGCAGAAUUUACCUCAGGAAAGGGAGACCAGGACUAUGGAGGGGGUUUCACCCCAACCCUUGGACUUGCCUGUAACGAGGAUGGCUCAGACCUGUGAGCUCUAGUCAUGGAUCAUGACUCCACUGUGCAAGCACAAGGCAAACACAGAACAAAAAGUCCACAAUACGUGCAAAGAAGCUCGAUUGGAAUGAAUUUGAACACCUCAUCGGAGAAGUUUUGCUAAAACUGCUUAUAACAUGGCAUAAAUGUUACUUGCUAAGAAAAGGGAUUUAAUAUGAAAUUGUCUUCAGCUGGCAGAAUCUGACUUAGAUAGUUUUAUUUAGUAUCUUAUUGCUCACAUUUCCAAGAUAAUCUUUUUCCACAGAUAGUCUUCACUUCUGAUUACUUCCCUUUGACAUAAUAACAUUCAGCCUGUGUGUAACUAUAAGCUUGUUCUCAACUUGUUCUAUUGAUGUAACUUCAAUUAAUUGCAUACAUACAACAAAAUAUAAUACAAUUGUACCUUAACUGUACACCCCUGUUGCUAAUUUCAAUAAAUAUUGUAUUUUCUGCAUUGCAUCAGGAA